This 468-nucleotide ribosomal RNA is filed under the name uncultured bacterium. RNAcentral describes it as "partial 16S ribosomal RNA". It matches the Rfam family "Bacterial small subunit ribosomal RNA", at positions 28 to 507 of the family's 1533-position model. The record is from RNAcentral.
GACGAACGCUGGCGGCGUGCUUAACACAUGCAAGUCGAACGGAAAGGCCCUGCUUUUGUGGGGUGCUCGAGUGGCGAACGGGUGAGUAACACGUGAGUAACCUGCCCUUGACUUUGGGAUAACUUCAAGAAACUGGGGCUAAUACCUGAUAGGAGCUCCUGCUGCAUGGUGGGGGUUGGACCGUUUCGGCGGUUGGGGAUGGACUCGCGGCUUAUCAGCUUGUUGGUGGGGUAGUGGCUUACCAAGGCUUUGACGGGUAGCCGGCCUGAGAGGGUGACCGGCCACAUUGGGACUGAGAUACGGCCCAGACUCCUACGGGAGGCAGCAGUGGGGAAUAUUGCACAAUGGGCGGAAGCCUGAUGCAGCAACGCCGCGUGCGGGAUGACGGCCUUCGGGUUGUAAACCGCUUUCGCCUGUGACGAAGCGUGAGUGACGGUAAUGGGUAAAGAAGCACCGGCUAACUACGUG